Molecule: long non-coding RNA, 634 nt
Filed under: Daucus carota (carrot)
Lineage: Eukaryota; Viridiplantae; Streptophyta; Magnoliopsida; Apiales; Apiaceae
Description: long non-coding RNA (DCAR_LNC003649)
Source: RNAcentral
AGUACCAGAACUCCAAAAUAGUUAGUUCAACUUCGAGUACAUAUUUUAUUGUAUAGAUUAGAAAACGUUAUCUUGAUGAUUUGUAAUCAUCGAAACUGUUUUUAUCAAAAUUUGCGGGGUUAAAAGCCAAACCUAUUUAAUUUCUAUAACAAUGGAGUAAGUGUUUAAUGUAUGAAUAUUUAAUAGAUCGAAUAGAUGAAUAUCGAGAAGAAAGCAAAAGACAAGAACACAAGCAAUUUUGGUGACGCGGAAAACCCCUUGUAAAAGGUUAAAAACCGCGGGUGGGAUUGACCCAGCCAAAUAUCCACUAUAAUGAUGUAACAUCAGCUUACAAGUAUAAGAAAUACAUGAUACAAGUACAAAAAGAUGUUAUCGUCGGCUUCAAAGCAGUUCACGUCCGUCAGCAAUGUGCACCCGUCGACAAAAUGAUUUUGGGGAGAUGAAGAUGUAGAGCUCCAUUGAUAGAAGACGAAGUAGCUAUGGUGCGUGCAUUGUAGUUGUAUGAUAUGUAGGAGGUAAGUGUAGUGUAGCUUUGUAUAUUUUGGGCCUUGGCUUUGGGUUUAUACCUAAGAAAAGUGAAGUCGUGGAGUUAUAAAGGUGUGUAGAGUACAUGUAUAUCUUGAUAAGUAUGCAG